CAGUAGCCACGGGAAUACGGAGGGGGCUAGCGUUGUUCGGAAUUACUGGGCGUAAAGCGCACGUAGGCGGCUUGGUAAGUUAGAGGUGAAAGCCCGGAGCUCAACUCCGGAAUUGCCUUUAAGACUGCCGAGCUAGCAGGUGAGAGAGGUAAGUGGAAUUCCGAGUGUAGAGGUGAAAUUCGUAGAUAUUCGGAAGAACACCAGUGGCGAAGGCGGCUUACUGGCUCAUACUGGACGCUGAGGUGCGAAAGCGUGGGGAGCAAACAGGAUUAGAUACCCCUGUAGUCCCUGUCUCUUAUAC
RNAcentral lists this ribosomal RNA (301 nucleotides) under uncultured bacterium. RNAcentral's name for it is "partial 16S ribosomal RNA". It matches the Rfam family "Bacterial small subunit ribosomal RNA", at positions 509 to 807 of the family's 1533-position model. The record is from RNAcentral.